This 263-nucleotide ribosomal RNA is filed under the name uncultured bacterium. RNAcentral's name for it is "partial 16S ribosomal RNA". It matches the Rfam family "Bacterial small subunit ribosomal RNA", at positions 793 to 1055 of the family's 1533-position model. The record is from RNAcentral.
GUCCACGCCGUAAACGAUGUCGACUUGGAGGUUGUUCCCUUGAGGAGUGGCUUCCGGAGCUAACGCGUUAAGUCGACCGCCUGGGGAGUACGGCCGCAAGGUUAAAACUCAAAUGAAUUGACGGGGGCCCGCACAAGCGGUGGAGCAUGUGGUUUAAUUCGAUGCAACGCGAAGAACCUUACCUACUCUUGACAUCCACAGAACUUUCCAGAGAUGGAUUGGUGCCUUCGGGAACUGUGAGACAGGUGCUGCAUGGCUGUCGU